CGGGACACGUGGUAUCCUGUCUGAAUAUGGGGGGACCAUCCUCCAAGGCUAAAUACUCCUGACUGACCGAUAGUGAACCAGUACCGUGAGGGAAAGGCGAAAAGAACCCCGGCGAGGGGAGUGAAAAAGAACCUGAAACCGUGUACGUACAAGCAGUGGGAGCACGCUUAGGCGUGUGACUGCGUACCUUUUGUAUAAUGGGUCAGCGACUUAUAUUCUGUAGCAAGGUUAACCGAAUAGGGGAGCCGAAGGGAAACCGAGUCUUAACUGGGCGUUAAGUUGCAGGGUAUAGACCCGAAACCCGGUGAUCUAGCCAUGGGCAGGUUGAAGGUUGGGUAACACUAACUGGAGGACCGAACCGACUAAUGUUGAAAAAUUAGCGGAUGACUUGUGGCUGGGGGUGAAAGGCCAAUCAAACCGGGAGAUAGCUGGUUCUCCCCGAAAGCUAUUUAGGUAGCGCCUCGUGAAUUCAUCUCCGGGGGUAGAGCACUGUUUCGGCAAGGGGGUCAUCCCGACUUACCAACCCGAUGCAAACUGCGAAUACCGGAGAAUGUUAUCACGGGAGACACACGGCGGGUGCUAACGUCCGUCGUGAAGAGGGAAACAACCCAGACCGCCAGCUAAGGUCCCAAAGUCAUGGUUAAGUGGGAAACGAUGUGGGAAGGCCCAGACAGCCAGGAUGUUGGCUUAGAAGCAGCCAUCAUUUAAAGAAAGCGUAAUAGCUCACUGGUCGAGUCGGCCUGCGCGGAAGAUGUAACGGGGCUAAACCAUGCACCGAAGCUGCGGCAGCGACGCUGAUGCGUUGUUGGGUAGGGGAGCGUUCUGUAAGCCUGUGAAGGUGUGCUGUGAGGCAUGCUGGAGGUAUCAGAAGUGCGAAUGCUGACAUAAGUAACGAUAAAGCGGGUGAAAAGCCCGCUCGCCGGAAGACCAAGGGUUCCUGUCCAACGUUAAUCGGGGCAGGGUGAGUCGACCCCUAAGGCGAGGCCGAAAGGCGUAGUCGAUGGGAAACAGGUUAAUAUUCCUGUACUUGGUGUUACUGCGAAGGGGGGACGGAGAAGGCUAUGUUGGCCGGGCGACGGUUGUCCCGGUUUAAGCGUGUAGGCUGGUUUUCCAGGCAAAUCCGGAAAAUCAAGGCUGAGGCGUGAUGACGAGGCACUACGGUGCUGAAGCAACAAAUGCCCUGCUUCCAGGAAAAGCCUCUAAGCAUCAGGUAACAUCAAAUCGUACCCCAAACCGACACAGGUGGUCAGGUAGAGAAUACCAAGGCGCUUGAGAGAACUCGGGUGAAGGAACUAGGCAAAAUGGUGCCGUAACUUCGGGAGAAGGCACGCUGAUAUGUAGGUGAAGCGACUUGCUCGUGGAGCUGAAAUCAGUCGAAGAUACCAGCUGGCUGCAACUGUUUAUUAAAAACACAGCACUGUGCAAACACGAAAGUGGACGUAUACGGUGUGACGCCUGCCCGGUGCCGGAAGGUUAAUUGAUGGGGUCAGCGCAAGCGAAGCUCUUGAUCGAAGCCCCGGUAAACGGCGGCCGUAACUAUAACGGUCCUAAGGUAGCGAAAUUCCUUGUCGGGUAAGUUCCGACCUGCACGAAUGGCGUAAUGAUGGCCAGGCUGUCUCCACCCGAGACUCAGUGAAAUUGAACUCGCUGUGAAGAUGCAGUGUACCCGCGGCAAGACGGAAAGACCCCGUGAACCUUUACUAUAGCUUGACACUGAACAUUGAGCCUUGAUGUGUAGGAUAGGUGGGAGGCUUUGAAGUGUGGACGCCAGUCUGCAUGGAGCCGACCUUGAAAUACCACCCUUUAAUGUUUGAUGUUCUAACGUUGACCCGUAAUCCGGGUUGCGGACAGUGUCUGGUGGGUAGUUUGACUGGGGCGGUCUCCUCCUAAAGAGUAACGGAGGAGCACGAAGGUUGGCUAAUCCUGGUCGGACAUCAGGAGGUUAGUGCAAUGGCAUAAGCCAGCUUGACUGCGAGCGUGACGGCGCGAGCAGGUGCGAAAGCAGGUCAUAGUGAUCCGGUGGUUCUGAAUGGAAGGGCCAUCGCUCAACGGAUAAAAGGUACUCCGGGGAUAACAGGCUGAUACCGCCCAAGAGUUCAUAUCGACGGCGGUGUUUGGCACCUCGAUGUCGGCUCAUCACAUCCUGGGGCUGAAGUAGGUCCCAAGGGUAUGGCUGUUCGCCAUUUAAAGUGGUACGCGAGCUGGGUUUAGAACGUCGUGAGACAGUUCGGUCCCUAUCUGCCGUGGGCGCUGGAGAACUGAGGGGGGCUGCUCC
Molecule: ribosomal RNA, 2275 nt
Filed under: Escherichia coli
Lineage: Bacteria; Pseudomonadati; Pseudomonadota; Gammaproteobacteria; Enterobacterales; Enterobacteriaceae
Description: partial 23S ribosomal RNA
Rfam family: Bacterial large subunit ribosomal RNA
Source: RNAcentral